CCAUCAGGCCUCCCCUCAGCUCCUCUGCUCUGCGCCGAGCCAAUGGAGGGACCUCAUCUGUUGUUCAUACAUCUUGCCCUCCAGACCCUUCCCCAUUUUUGAAGCUCUCCUUAGGAUGGGACAAAAGCAGCCCAGGUCAUACCGGUGAGAUUCUACUCCCCUGUCGCCGAGUCCUUCUUUGCUUACAUUAUUCAGAAACAUAUUGGCAAGUCUCACACUGUGAUUUCCAUGUACGGUUUACAGCAGCUGCCCCAGAAACAAUCACUCAGGAAAGUUAGUGGCUACAGAAACUACCCACAACACCUGGACCACAGCAGAAUUUCCCUGCUGACAAGAGCAUCGGCUGCUGGAUCAAGCGAAGUUGGAAAGAAGCAAAUCCCUGUGUAAACAUCAAUAUCGUCAAUUAAUUAGGAAACACAGCAAGAUAAAUAAUGAAGCCCCAAGAAAGGUUAACACCACAAAAAGGAGAAAAAAAAAAGGAAAAAGAAGAAAGUACUGCAGUUAGCGGAGUGAAGAAACUCUUGAAACACUGUUGUCUGAAACAAAAGCAAGGCACUCUCCCUUAACACCUGAUAUAUUCCUGAAUUCUGCCUAGAAAAAGGCAUGUUCACACUGAGAGAGCUGUGAGGAAGGUAGGAGAUUUAUUCUGCAUUAAUUCUUCUUUCACCAUCGUGACCUGUCACUGGCUGCACUCUACGAUGGGUCUGUGCACUGGAGUUGAAAUGAAGGACGGUUCGGUAGGUGACGGGAAUGGGAGAGUAUCACAGUUAAGACUAUCCAUGGAAGACUAAAGCACACCAGCUACAUGAAAUCUCACGUGGGGCUCUGGACCUGCUCCCUCCAUUCACAUCCCACUGAAUAAAUAAACCUCGCCCGACAAAAAGCAAUGUCACUGUACUGUGCUGAAAACUCAGUGGAGGGGCCUGCUCACAAGGAGCGCCCGGGACCCCUUCACUGAUGCUCAGCGCCUGGCAGGCUCUGUCCCUAGGCAGAAGUGAUUUCCCAAGGGACCUUGUGUCUGACACAAGGAGACAAAGGUAAACAUACUUUCUGAUUCGGCUUCUGUAUGUUUUUGUAU
This is a long non-coding RNA of Centrocercus urophasianus (Greater sage-grouse), 1078 nucleotides long. RefSeq lists it as uncharacterized. The transcript has 4 exons. The record is from RefSeq and is a predicted model, not a curated record. NCBI's taxonomy places the organism in Eukaryota, Metazoa, Chordata, Aves, Galliformes, Phasianidae.